This 17-nucleotide unclassified non-coding RNA is filed under the name Mus musculus (house mouse). Its description in RNAcentral is "oocyte_clustered_small_RNA7495". The record is from RNAcentral. Lineage: Eukaryota; Metazoa; Chordata; Mammalia; Rodentia; Muridae.
CCUGUUCAUGCUUUUUG